UUGGUACAGUCGGUACAGUCCAGUACAGUCGGCCCAGUAAAGUUGGUACAGUCCGGUACAGUCGGCCCAGUACAGUUGGUACAGUCUGUCUGGUACAGUCGGCCCAGUGCAGUCUUGUACAUUCGGUUUGGUACAGUCGGUACAGUCUGGUACAGUCGGCCUAGUGCAGUCGGUACAGUAGGCCCAGUACAGUUAAUACAGUCCGGUACAGUAGGCCCAGUACAGUUAAUACAGUCCGGUACAGUCGGCUCGGUACAGUUAAUACAGUCCGGUACUGACGGUAUGGCCCAGUACAGUUGAUACAGUCCAGUACAGUCGGCCCAGCACAGUUGGUACAGUCCGGUACAGUCGGU
Long non-coding RNA from Anguilla rostrata (American eel), 353 nucleotides. RefSeq lists it as uncharacterized. The transcript is spliced from 3 exons. Lineage: Eukaryota; Metazoa; Chordata; Actinopteri; Anguilliformes; Anguillidae. The record is from RefSeq and is a predicted model, not a curated record.